UCCAGGAUGGCCGAGUGGUUAUGGCAUCAGACCUCAGUUCUGGUACACUGAUGUGUUCGUAGGUUCGAAUCCUACUUCUGAAC
This 83-nucleotide transfer RNA is filed under the name Trichonephila inaurata madagascariensis. Its description in RNAcentral is "tRNA-Sup". It matches the Rfam family "tRNA". Rfam says of the family: Transfer RNA (tRNA) molecules are approximately 80 nucleotides in length. Their secondary structure includes four short double-helical elements and three loops (D, anti-codon, and T loops). The record is from RNAcentral. Lineage: Eukaryota; Metazoa; Arthropoda; Arachnida; Araneae; Nephilidae.